This 1456-nucleotide long non-coding RNA is filed under the name Heterocephalus glaber (naked mole-rat). Its description in RNAcentral is "lncRNA (ENSHGLG00000028474.2)". The record is from RNAcentral. Lineage: Eukaryota; Metazoa; Chordata; Mammalia; Rodentia; Bathyergidae.
CGGGAUCACAGGCGUUCGCCACCACGCCUGGCUACACUGCUUCUCAAGAUGCUGUUUAUUGUUCGCCCACAGCUCCAGCUUCCUCUCUGUGCGGUCUUUGCCGAUGGCAAGAACAGACAGGCUUCUCGGGGCCUUCAAGGCGUGGGCACAGUGCGCUGGUGCUGUUUGCGUCUGCGCAGUGCCUCCCUGCGGCCCGACCGGAAGCCGCUGGGGUCUUGGGCACUUCCUGUGCGCCGCGGUCUCCCAAGGAAGACGGUGUUGCGUUGGCUUUAUUUAUCAUGGAGGAAAACGGGGCUUAGGAAUCAGAGUAGGGUUCGAUGGCGCAGGAGUGAGAACUAGGAAGCCAGUGACUCGGUUUCCCCGACAAUCCCUGCGCACUGCUGCCAAGGGGUCCCGAAGAGACCCGGCCAGCCCUGUCCUCCCAUCGUCCGGGCGCACUGAGGAGGCCCAGACACCGGAAGGAAUUGCACGAAGAUGGAAAUAACAAUCCUCGUGAGCGGAGAGCUUGGUCAGUGGGAUUGCCAAGAGGGACAAAGUUGCAGCACAUAAAUGGGUCUCACUAAGUCUAAGUUGCCCAGGCUGGGUUGAGCUCGUUGCUGUCUGGUGAGAGAGACCGUGGCAGGGAGAACAGUGAGGAAGCCGCUGACACAUGGCACCCAGGGAAAGAGGAUGGUGGCUCGGACUGGAGCGGCAGCAGAAGGGGGUGAAGAUGAGGAAUUCUGGAGGCGAAGCCAGCUCCUCGGGAUUCGGGUGCCACGUGAGACCACUGUUACUGCACGUUCACGUCCUCCCUGAGAAACUUCGGAAGAGAAAUCUGGACGCUCCAGGAGCCGCUGUUUACCCAGAGGGAUUUACAGAUGAGAGUUUGCCUUAAGUCUCAGAGGAGAUUUUGGAUUUGGAAUUUUGAGCAGUGCUGGAACUGUUGAGACUUUGGGGAGAACAACAUGUUUUCAGUUGUAGCUGGGAUUUACAAUUUAGAGAAAGCCAAAUUUGAAGAAGUUGAUCUUUCCUGCUUACACUGGUUAGAUUUUGGAAAUCUGGAAAUGGAGCCAUUGGCAUUUCAAGAAAGUUCUGUCUGGAAAAAUAAAUUCUGUGACUUGUGUGCAACCCUUGAGAAGAUAGAGAACAUGGAAUGUGAGGGAGAACAAAGGACUGCAGGUGGUAGCUCUGAAAAUGAAAUCCUUAAAGUGUGGAAUUCCGUGCCGAAUAAUUGUAAGUCAAUGAAAGCACUUGGGAUUGCUUUUCUUACUUUGUUUGGAACAUCUCAUGUUUGUGAGCAGUUGUGUUCAGUUUUGAAUUCUAUCAAAUCUGAUACAGGAAACAGACUGACUGAUGAUGACCUGAGUCUGCAUGUGUUGCUCUCAAGCUAGCAAAGUGUGAGCCAAGGUUGACAGAUUAUCAGAUGCAUAGGACAGCAAGAUCACAUUAAUGGUGCAAAAGCAUGCCAAAUGCAAAC